This 198-nucleotide ribosomal RNA is filed under the name uncultured soil bacterium. RNAcentral describes it as "partial 16S ribosomal RNA". It matches the Rfam family "Bacterial small subunit ribosomal RNA", at positions 26 to 226 of the family's 1533-position model. The record is from RNAcentral.
AGGACGAACGCUGGCGGCGUGCUUAACACAUGCAAGUCGAGCGGUAAGGCCUUUCGGGGUACACGAGCGGCGAACGGGUGAGUAACACGUGGGUGAUCUGCCCUGCACUCUGGGAUAAGCCUGGGAAACUGGGUCUAAUACCGGAUAUGACCUGCUCUCGCAGUGGGGGGUGGGUGGAAAGAUUUAUCGGUGCAGGAU